UACGUAGGGGGCAAGCGUUGUCCGGAUUUAUUGGGCGUAAAGCGCUCGCAGGUGGUUCGUUGCGUCGUGCGUGAAAGACCCCGGCUCAACUGGGGAGUGUCGUGCGAUACGGGCGAACUGGAGGCCAGUAGGGGGAUGCGGAAUUCCGGGUGUAGUGGUGAAAUGCGUAGAGAUCCGGAGGAACCCCUGAGGCGAAGGCGGCGUCCUGGCGCACUUCUGACGUUCAGACACGACAGCAUGGGGAGCGAACGGG
Molecule: ribosomal RNA, 253 nt
Filed under: uncultured bacterium
Lineage: Bacteria
Description: partial 16S ribosomal RNA
Rfam family: Bacterial small subunit ribosomal RNA
Source: RNAcentral